This is a long non-coding RNA of Gopherus flavomarginatus (Mexican gopher tortoise), 5487 nucleotides long. RefSeq lists it as uncharacterized. The transcript has 2 exons. Lineage: Eukaryota; Metazoa; Chordata; Testudines; Testudinidae. The record is from RefSeq and is a predicted model, not a curated record.
GCGGGGCGGAGAGUUCCCCUGCGUGCCGCCCCCCCCUUACUUGCUGCAGGCAGCCCUCCCCGUGCCCCCCUGCCCCAGCUCCCUCUGCCUAAAUGCCGGCAGCGACCAGGGCGGCUGAAGAUCUGGCCGCCACAGUCGCUGCCGAAGAAAAUGGCGCCCUCCAAAUCCUAGCGCCCUAGGCAACUGCAUAGGUCGCCUAAAUGGUUGCACCGGCCCUGUUGCCGCAGGACCUGUCUCUGUCUCCAUGUUAGUCUGUUCCCCACACAAACAGCUCACUAACAACUUCCCUUCCCUCUGUUCAGAAAGUCUUUGUAACCAUGUAGUGACCUUUUGAAUUCUCAGUUCCCAGCCUUGGCAAAAAGGCUGUGUCUUUGGGCUGGAGCCUGGAAGUGGCAUCUUCCCUGCUAAUAGCUUGACAUUUCUCUUGUAAUUGUCCCCAAGUAUGUGUUUGGGAGGCUGCUUUUCUAGACCCAUUUUGUGGCUUUCUUGGGGAGGGGGUCCAACAGCCCCCUCUUAAGCUAGAUCGAUACAUUGAUAUAGGAAAGUCCUGUAACUCAAUAUAGCUAUACAGUGACUCAUUAAUACCAUAGGUACCUGGUCAGUAAAAUUAUUAUACAUUAGUAUUCCUAAGUACAUCCACCACUGAUACCAUUGCCCCACUCAGAGAAGAGUAAAAAUACUCUAUGAUAUUCAGUUAGAAAUAAUUUUCUAUAGUCAAAACUCAUGGAUUAAUUGAUGUGAGGUAUAGACAUCGCUGAGUUAUAAAGUGAAGGAUAGAUUGUCUCUUAGUUUAGUGGUUUUAGUUUUGUUUAGUUUUAGCUUAUCGUAGUCUCUGGGAGGUGGUGGGAAAUUGCUUGUUUAAAAAAUAAUCUGAUCUGUGUUGCAUUCAAGAAAAUAGUUUAUUGAAGUUUUGCUUUUUUCAGGCAAAAGAAAGUAACUAAAAUAGCUUAAACUAUUCCGGGGGAGGGACUAUCAAAUCCAUGUAUACAAUGGAAAAUGUACAUACUGUCCCUUAUAAGCCGCAUUACAAAAUCCUUUAUGGUAUCUCAAAGGAAAAAAAAGAAAGGACGUUUUAAAGUGAGAGGUCCUAGCCUCUGUUUGCCAGACUCUGGGAAUGGGCAAGGGGAUGGAUCACUUGAUGAUUACCUGUUCUGUUCAUUCCUUCUGGGGCACCUGGCAUUGGCCACUGUCGGAAGACAGGAUACUAGGCUAGAUGGCCCAUUGGUUUGACCCAGUAUGGCCGUUCUUAUGUUCUUAUCUUGCUCCAUUUGAAAUCAGUAGGCGUUUUGACAAUGAGGCCCUGAAAUGGCUUGAGCAUGGACAUGGUAAAACAAUCAGCAGAAGCAGGAUCUGACAUUUAAUACACUUUUCCAUUGCAAGGGAAAAUGCAUCGGGGAAAAAAAGCAAAAUAUAUGUUGCCACUUGAGCAUGUUAUGAACCAACACAAGGCAGAUAAAUUCAAGGAGUGCUGUAAAUCAGCUCAACAAUAUGAAUAAUAAGUCUCAAGAAAAAUCUCUACCCCAGAAAAUGAAGCUGGUGAUAAGUCUCAGGACAUCCUCUGAGACAGGAGACAUUGUUAAGUCACUGCCUAGAGGAAAGUGAGAGUUUUUUCUGUAAGCAGGAUGUUGAUAAGUCAGCUUAAGAUGCUUAAGGUCCCCACCGCUGGGAAAAGAAAUCUGCCUCCUACAUGUGGAUUUACAUAUUUAACCAAUGCACCUUAUUAAAAAUCUGUCCUUGCUUCCAUUGGCUUCAGCACGAGCAGAUUUGGCAACCUUAGCUGGGUUUUUAAACAUUCGUCUAAUGGGAACUUUUGAAAAAGUAAUUUUGUGAAGUUGUAUUUAACAUGCAUAACAAAAGCCAGUGACACUGUCCUUGUGCUGCUGUCAGUCAGUCUGUCUGUAAUUCACAAUGUUGAGUCUAAGUAAUGCCGAGGUCUGAGCCUAGUCUUGAUAGUGCAUUGAGUGCUGCAAUAUCCAAGUGCCAGCAGGUGAAUUAAGGGUGGUGUUUUGGCUUGAACAGGAGAUACAGAGCCUUUUACUGUACCUCUAGAACAUUGCUUCAAACCCAGCCUACAUCAGUACCUGGAAAGGUAAAUCACUACCGUUCAAUGGCUGUUUGGUGGCUUAUAUGAAUUGAGCUUGGUGAUCUCAGGCUAGUUGCCAGUGUGUGUGUGUCAUCCUCAUAGAAACCACCACCAAAGUACUCCAGUAAAGGUCAAGGCUCCAUUGUGCUAGGCCUGUAGAGUUGAUUCCUGAAGGUGUGCAGUUGUACACUGGCAAGGCAGCGUGGAGGGGCCUGCGCUUUUCCUGCCAGUAAGGUCCCUUCCCUUGGAUAUGGAUAAAUGGAGGAUUUCAGUCUCAGGCUAGCAUCUUUCACAAGCACAAAAUGGAGAUUUACUUGGUUUAACCAGUGAAGUUUCAGCUUUAUUUGUGAAGUUCUGUGCCUGUCACAACCCCCAAUGGGAGGAAGGCCAGCCUGUGAAACUACAGCACCUAACGCCUGCAGUGCUGAGGAAUCCCUUUCCAGCCAAGUGCUAGUUGUGGUAUAUGUAGCUACGUAAUCAUUAGGAUUUUGUUCUCUGUCUUGCAGUUUUAAAUGUCUACGGCCAUGUCUACACUGACAAGCUUACAGUGGCACAGCUGUACUGAUACAACUGUGCUGCUGUAAGAUCGCUCAUGUAGCUGCGUUAUGCCAACAGCAGAGCGCUCUUCCAUUGGCAUAAUAAAACCAGCUCAAUGAGCGGCGGUAGCUGUGUUGCCGGGAGAGCCUUGUGCAAACGAGCGCUUAUGUUGGCAAAAGUUACAUUGCUUGGGUGGGGGCGUUUUUUCACACUCCUGGGCGACAAAAGUUUUGCCGACAUAAGUGCUAGUGUAGACAUGGCCUAGGAGUCUGCUGGAAGCAGCUGCAAUUUCAUGUUCAGUCCAGAUACAGCUUACUGGGCUCGAAUGGAAACUGUUUGUUUUAUGCUAAAAUAAAAUGAGUGUUUUAAACGGACAGUGUGUGGCUGCUCCGUGUGAAUGGAAAGCACGUACUUCCCUGGUGAAAUCUCAUAGGAUCAGACCAUGCAGUAACUCAGAUGCAGGAAUCAUAGUUUUUUAUUCUUUUUAAAUACUUACUCCUCGGAAGGCCUUCAAAUUCUAAUAACUGCUCUGUAUUUUCUCCAAGUGCCUUUUCAGUUAGUUCCGUAAAAUUGUUGAUCUGGUACUUGAUAUGUAUUUUCACAUGCUGGGAGUACAAGGGAGAAUCUGUGUGGUUUGUUGUCUUUAGAAAUGUCAUGAACGGAGAACACACUGUAUAAUAAAGAGGAAGUAAAGGCACCACAGAGCAUAGUGUGUGAACAUUCAGUAGCUGUUAUUGUGUCAGUGCCAGUUGUGCGCUUGGCAUUACACAGCUUGCAAAAGCAAAGCCAAUCUCUUCCCCGAAGAGCUUACAGCUGAGAAGCCAAGACAUGCUUUGAGAUAGUUGUCUGCAUAUGAGAGCUUCCCCUCCUUCCAGGUCAAUGUUUUAAUUUACUGCUAUUGGGUGAGCUGCUGCGCUAGGCUUCUAGGAGGUGCAGUACCGGAGGGGGGCAGGCUCAGGGGGCUUUACGGCACCUUUGCACUCUCCCAACAACAAGCUGCUCCAAAGGUCAGAGUGGCCCUGCCAAAAUUUAAACAGCCCAGCCUAAGGCUUGUCUACACAGGGAAAACGGCCAGCAGAAAUAAAGCUAUACCGAGAGUCACUGUUGUUCCAGAAUAGAGAAUCUACAUGGAGAGUUACGCUGGCAUAGAUAUAGUCCUCGAAUUAUAUUGCUAUCGUUCUGCCAGUCAAUUUCUUCAUGUAAAUAGGGUUACAGCAGCUUGUCCCUAUCUUCCUAUGUGCAGCAGCCCUGUAUGAUAUGGCCCCAGGCCUGAAACUAGGGUGACCAGAUGUCCCAAUUUUAUAGGGCCAGUCCCGAUUUUUGGGUCUUUUUCUUACAUAGGCUCCUAUUACCCCCCAUCCCCUGUCCUGAUUUUUCACACUUGCUGUCUGGUCACCCUAUCUGAAACAUCCUCUUCAGCCAUGCCCCUUACAGCAGGGCUUGGAAAGAGGCCCUCAAAAGAACCACCUGAGGCCAUCAGUCUCAGUUCUUGCUCUAAGGGAAUUCUGUCCCAGCUUGACCUACAACUGUAAAGCCCCUUUCACACUUUUACCUGGUGUUAAGAGGCUGGAGUGGGGAGUGAGAAUUCGACCUAUUACUUUAAGAUGGCUGGGCAGGGAGAUUGUGAAAAAGCCACAGUGACAAGUGGAAGCUAAAAUGAUUCAGUUCGUAUGUGAGGUCUCAGUGAUCUCUUCAGUUUAUUGGAAUCUUGCAUUUACAACCAACAAUGGGAAAAUCAACCUGUUUACAGCAACUGCAGUUUCAAACUGUUCUUAUGACCGUAUCCUUCAAAUGAUCACGUGUGUGUUUGUAAAAUAAAGCUACAGCCUUGCCUAGAACACAGGUUCAUUAUGCAUUUCAGUGCAAGUCUAGUAUAUGACACUCUUACUGAUAGCAACAAUCAUUUAUGCCCAAUCAAAACUGGGCCAUUUUUUUACUUUCACAACAUAGCACAUACUAUUCCUUAUAUAGUUUAGCUUGGCUGAAAAUUCUGGCAUGUCUCCUUAGGAAGGAUUUCUUGUAGGGGGGAUUGCCCAUCAAUAAUCCUGUGGCUAGAGCAUAGCACUGGGAGUCAGGUGGUUUCAGUUCUAUUGCUACCCUGCCACACGCUUCUUGUCACAUUCUUUAACCUGACCCCAGUUUCACUUUCUGUAAAAUGAGGCAGAUAAUAAUACUGCCUUACUUCCCAGUAAUGUUCUGAGGCUUAAGUCAUUAAUGUCUGUAAAAUGCAUUGAGGUGAUCAGAAGAAAAGUGCGUGUUUCUUUUUGGUUUUGCAUCAUGUGUACAUUCCUCUUUGAAACUUACUGACUCCAGCUGCCUAAUAUUCUUGGGUUGGGUUCCCCACGCUCCCAUUUCCACUGAUAGCAUAAUAAUCUAGUACAAGCUAACAAACAUACUAAGGUUUUUAAUCGUAAUCAGUGUGGUUUUGUUUGGUUUAAAUUUCCAAGUUUAACAAAGGUUCCAUAUUUUUUGUAUGUGCUCUCCCUACAGGAGUAGCUUCACAGGGCCACUCUUCAGUGUAAGAGUCAAUGGAAUCAAAUAGAGACUUUCACUACAUAGCAGGGGCCUGACCCUGAAAUGUGCCCAGCACUACCUGACAGCUGCCGAGUGCCUCAACUCCAACUGAAAACAGCAGAAGUUAAGAUCAACAAACAUCUGCUAUAAAUUGUAAGAGAAGUGGAACUGAGGUCAGUCAAAUAUAUCCCCUCGGGGACUGUUACUGUGUACCGAGUGCAUCUGAGCUUAGAGGAAUAAAAAUAAAGACUGACACCCAGCAAUAUCUUCUUCAUCAGGUCAAAACCCGUAUCCAGAAUGCAUAGAGAAAGACAUUUAACAUGAACAAAAUAAUAAAUGUCACCCAAGUAAUA